AUAUAGGAAGCACCAGACUGGAUCAAACCAUUGGGCCAUAUAGUCCAGUAUUCUGCCUCCAUCUGUGCCCAGCAUCUGCUACUUCAGAAGAAAGUGAGCCAACAUUCCUUCGACACUAUUCUUACAACUCUGAGAUGUGUGUACCCUGUAGAUAAUUUUAUCUAACUUUUUACUGGCUGUAGAGAAGAAACUAUUUUGCAAAGAGGAAAGCAUGAACAAGGAGAGAUGUACGAUCAGACAGAAAGGCAUCUAUGGCUUGGACAAACAGAGCCAAAGUGCUGAGGCACACCCAAGGCUGGCUGAUCUCGUACGGCCUGCUUUAAACUAUCUUCACCAGGGGAUGGGGCCACAGGGGGACACGAGGACAUUUCCCAGCCAAGACAGGUGACAAGCACAAGAAGUACCCAGAUUCACCGCAUUUCUGCUUCAACUGUCUGCAGCUGGGGGAUUAAACGCAUAAAUCAGCAGAAGACCUUAUAUUCUUUCUUUUUAGUCUGACUACUAGACUAUUGGAAACAUCAGCCAUGGCACUGAAAACUUUCAGCACUUCCCUAUAAACACAUUCUAAUACAUUCAUCAGUUGUUUGGAAUUAGGCACUCCGUGGCCAGCCACAGGGCUAAAGAAACAGCAUCCCCCGCCCCCAUUAGUCUCUUUCACAAGGGUGUGUUCUUUAUUAACUCGUACAAACCCUUCCCUUUGUCAGACGCAACAGGUCAUUUCCUCUCCCUCCUCUGUGCAUGGUUGUAAUUAUUCUUUGCCAACUCAAAACAUUUUAGAUUCUCUUUUCUCCCUGUUCCCUGCAGGCAACACAACCAAAGGAACUAAAUAGAAAAAAAUAAAAGCCUUGUUCAGUGUUAUGCCUUUUUAACUUAGUCCUAUCUGCCUUUCCAAUUAAGGGUGAACAGGUCAAAC
This is a long non-coding RNA of Alligator mississippiensis (American alligator), 913 nucleotides long. RefSeq lists it as uncharacterized. The record is from RefSeq and is a predicted model, not a curated record. The transcript has 4 exons. NCBI's taxonomy places the organism in Eukaryota, Metazoa, Chordata, Crocodylia, Alligatoridae.